GACGAAUGCUGGCGGCGUGCUUAACACAUGCAAGUCGAACGGAAAGGCCCUGCUUUUGUGGGGUGCUCGAGUGGCGAACGGGUGAGUAACACGUGAGUAACCUGCCCUUGACUUUGGGAUAACUUCAGGAAACUGGGGCUAAUACCGGAUAGGAGCUCCUGCUGCAUGGUGGGGGUUGGAAAGUUUCGGCGGUUGGGGAUGGACUCGCGGCUUAUCAGCUUGUUGGUGGGGUAGUGGCUUACCAAGGCUUUGACGGGUAGCCGGCCUGAGAGGGUGACCGGCCACAUUGGGACUGAGAUACGGCCCAGACUCCUACGGGAGGCAGCAGUGGGGAAUAUUGCACAAUGGGCGGAAGCCUGAUGCAGCAACGCCGCGUGCGGGAUGACGGCCUUCGGGUUGUAAACCGCUUUCGCCUGUGACGAAGCGUGAGUGACGGUAAUGGGUAAAGAAGCACCGGCUAACUACGUGCCAGCAGCCGCGGUGAUACGUAGGGUGCGAGCGUUGUCCGGAUUUAUUGGGCGUAAAGGGCUCGUAGGUGGUUGAUCGCGUCGGAAGUGUAAUCUUGGGGCUUAACCCUGAGCGUGCUUUCGAUACGGGUUGACUUGAGGAAGGUAGGGGAGAAUGGAAUUCCUGGUGGAGCGGUGGAAUGCGCAGAUAUCAGGAGGAACACCAGUGGCGAAGGCGGUUCUCUGGGCCUUUCCUGACGCUGAGGGGCGAAAGCGUGGGGAGCGAACAGGCUUAGAUACCCUGGUAGUCCACGCUGUAAACGGUGGGUACUAGGUGUGGGGUCCAUUCCACGGGUUCCGUGCCGUAGCUAACGCUUUAAGUACCCCGCCUGGGGAGUACGGCCGCAAGGCUAAAACUCAAAGGAAUUGACGGGGCCCCGCACAAGCGGCGGAGCAUGCGGAUUAAUUCGAUGCAACGCGUAGAACCUUACCUGGGUUUGACAUGGAUCGGGAGUGCUCAGAGAUGGGUGUGCCUCUUUUGGGGUCGGUUCACAGGUGGUGCAUGCCUGUCGUCAGCUCGUGUCGUGAGAUGUUGGGUUAAGUCCCGCAACGAGCGCAACCCUUGUUCACUGUUGCCAGCACGUUAUGGUGGGGACUCAGUGGAGACCGCCGGGGUCAACUCGGAGGAAGGUGGGGAUGACGUCAAGUCAUCAUGCCCCUUAUGUCCAGGGCUUCACGCAUGCUACAAUGGCUGGUACAGAGAGUGGCGAGCCUGUGAGGGUGAGCGAAUCUCGGAAAGCCGGUCUCAGUUCGGAUUGGGGUCUGCAACUCGACCUCAAGAAGUCGGAGUCGCUAGUAAUCGCAGAUCAGCAACGCUGCGGUGAAUACGUUCCCGGG
This 1343-nucleotide ribosomal RNA is filed under the name uncultured bacterium. RNAcentral's name for it is "16S ribosomal RNA". It matches the Rfam family "Bacterial small subunit ribosomal RNA", at positions 28 to 1378 of the family's 1533-position model. The record is from RNAcentral.